RNAcentral lists this unclassified non-coding RNA (48 nucleotides) under Saccharolobus solfataricus. RNAcentral describes it as "RNA (48-MER) from Saccharolobus solfataricus (PDB 8BMW, chain R)". Lineage: Archaea; Thermoproteati; Thermoproteota; Thermoprotei; Sulfolobales; Sulfolobaceae. The record is from RNAcentral.
AUUGAAAGUUUUUUUUUUUUUUUUUUUUUUUUUUUUUUUUUUUUUUUU